CGCGGGGUGGAGCAGCUUGGUAGCUCGUCGGGCUCAUAACCCGAAGGUCAUAGGUUCAAAUCCUGUCCCCGCAA
RNAcentral lists this transfer RNA (74 nucleotides) under Mycoplasma sp. CAG:611. It matches the Rfam family "tRNA". From Rfam's summary of the family: Transfer RNA (tRNA) molecules are approximately 80 nucleotides in length. Their secondary structure includes four short double-helical elements and three loops (D, anti-codon, and T loops). Lineage: Bacteria; Bacillati; Mycoplasmatota; Mollicutes; Mycoplasmatales; Mycoplasmataceae. The record is from Rfam by way of RNAcentral.